ACAAUCUGCAAGAAAAGUGGUGAAAAGAAGCUGUCGGGCCUGCAGGAGCUGGGGCGUGUGUGUGUGUGUGUGUGUGUGUGUGUGUGUGUGUGUGUGUGUGUAGGGGAGGGAGAGAGCAUGUGAAAGAGAGUUAGUCAUGCGUCUGUGGUGUGUGAGCCUCUGUAUGUGGAGGUAUGUGCACGGGAGACCUGGGGGAACUUCACGAUCUUCCUUUAUCACUCACCUUAUUCCUUUGAGACAGGAGUCUCUCACUGAGUCUCAGAGCUAGGCUGGCAGCCAUUAAGCCCAGCCAUCCUCCUGUCUCUGCCCUCUGCAUUUCUGGGGUUUCAGGUAUAUGUGGUUUUAUCGUGCUUUUUAUGUGAUCCAAAUUCAGGUCUUUAAGCUUAUGUGUCAGUGCUCUUCCCCGAGCCCUUGCCCCAGGCCCUGUUAGUGCUUCUCUAAGGCUUGUCGGUCUGUGCAUGUGAUCCACAGGAACACCACACACACACAGCGGCUCCCUGUGGUGACUGGGAACGUUCGGGAAGCAGUCUCUCCUAAGCUGUCCGUGAAUGUCACAGUGGGAAUCUGCAAAGGACAGCUAGCUCCUUUCUCUGCUCAGCUGAGGCCAAGCUGCAGCAGGAAGACAUGGAGGAAGCAGUUGCUGAAGGAGCCAUUUUCCUCCAGACAUGGCUGAGUCCAUGUCUGGGAUACGGCCAGGAAGAGCUGGAGAGCAGUGUCUCGGCCACACCUCCAUGGUCCGUGGGAGUGUGAAGCGCCUCCCAGGUAUGUUUCCCAACAGAAUUUCCUACCUCUUCACUCGGCUCCUGGGUCAUCUGAGACCCAGUUACGUUACUGUACACUCUGGAAUCUAGUCAGCUCCUUAGCCUGUCCAGACUGCACAUGCCUUGCCAGCCUGUGUAACUUCCCCAGCAGUAGAGCACUGCCUUCCCUUCCUGUCACUGUCCUUCAUCUGCAUGCCCAUCAGCAGCUCAGACUCCUCCUGAUGAGGACCCCAGCCCUCUGUCCCCCUCCCUUGAAGUUUUUCAGAACUGUUCUACACUAUAUCUAAUCUUAUGCCAAAAUGGCCAGCUCAUCUGCGUUUCUCCUUUUCUCCUCCCCACCCAAUGCUCUAGGCAAAGGCAAGAAUUACAAGGGAGUAGAAGAGGAGUCUGGAAGUGGGCCGUUUGCUCUUCAGGGGAACUGGGAGCGGGGAGACACAUUCCAAGUGUCUUCUCCUGCAGUGCUCGCACAGUCACUUAACUGUCCUGUAAAGAAGUUGCUAAUAAGCAUUAGGGGGUUGGGGGAUAAGGUGGCGGGCAGGGAGAGGAAGGAGACAGAGUUAUAUAUUCCUUGUAUCCACAGAAAUCCACAUGGUCUUGGGGUGAAGCACUACUCCCGCAGGUCUGAAGCGCUGCCCACUGCCCUGGGAGCCCCACAGAGGACUCACUGGUUGCUGGGGUGCUCCUGGGAGAAGUUUCGCUGUCUGCAAGAUGGAAUAUUGUCCAUGAGUGCCAGAAGAGAUGGACGCGUCUGAGGCUGACUUCUUCACCAUUAAGCCAGCUGUGAAAAAUGAUGAGACGGUGUCAGCCUCAGUGACUUGGGAACAUGCUCGCAAGCUAUCAGAAGUUUCAGGGGAGGCAGCCCCAAAGACAGCCACACCCACGGUCAGGUAUACAGACCCACAAGCCACUCAGAGUGCUCCCAGGCAGGCCCCGUGAGCCUCUCCAGAGUUUCUCUUUGGGGGUUAUGACUGUGGGCUUGCAGCUCACACAGCACGGGUGAGGCCUGGGUUCCAUCCCAAGCACCAUAGAAAACAAAGCAGUGUUCCUGUCGAGUCUCUUGAUAGCUUGGCCCAUUGGGAGACUGUCUAGGGAAGCAGGAUUGGAAUGUGAAUUUACAUCUAACACGAAGAGGGAUUUUAAAUCUUAUAGAAAAACCAAUUGAUUUUUAAAGUGGUUUAAAACACAUUAUUAUCAGGACCGAUUAUUUUAAAUGUUAAAAAUGUUUUUAAAAAAUGUUUGUAUUUUUUUGUGUGUGUAUAAAGUGUGUACAAAACGUGUAUGUGUUUGUGUGUGAGUGCAUGCACAUGUAAGGACAGAGGACUGCCUUGGGUCCUUGUCUUCUAACUUGUUAAGGCAGGGUCUCCAGCUAUUUGUACUACACACUCCAGGGUAGGUAGU
Mus musculus (house mouse) is the source of this 2159-nucleotide long non-coding RNA. RefSeq annotates it as predicted gene, 46591. The record is from RefSeq and is a predicted model, not a curated record. The transcript is spliced from 2 exons. Lineage: Eukaryota; Metazoa; Chordata; Mammalia; Rodentia; Muridae.